Molecule: non-coding RNA, 1395 nt
Organism: Poecilia reticulata (guppy)
Lineage: Eukaryota; Metazoa; Chordata; Actinopteri; Cyprinodontiformes; Poeciliidae
Source: RefSeq, a predicted model, not a curated record
CUCUGCAGCGGUAGAUGAUGCAUGGCAACUGCGCUGUGAAGACAGCUUUGUCGAAGCGGGACGGUGAAGGACGGCUGUUAGACACAGCAGCAUGUUAUUACGCUGUAUUUAUCGUAUGCGGUUUCAUCGAGGCAUUAUAGGCACAUUAAAAUUUUCCAGAAUUGCUUUGGGCAAGUUGUAUUCUAAUUCAUCCAGCUUAAACAAACAGGCUAUUUAAAGGACAUCAGCCUAACAUAAGCUGCUUUAUUUUGAGUGAACGAAGACGGUAUAAAUAGACUUUGAAUAGUGCAACAAGUAAAUGCUUCAUGUGAAAUGGCUGGCGUUACAUCAUUGCCUGUGAGAGUGAAGUUCUGGAGAGACACUGGGCUCUUUGGGCCAGCCAUUAUGCGGAGAAAAGCUGUCAACAUGAAGCAGAAUCUGCUUAAACAUAAAAGGGAUAAGGAGGAGAAAAUGAACUAAAGACGACUAAUGCCCCCCCAUAGGUGGACGACGUCAACAAUGAUGGGGUUUUUAUAUGAUAGACAAAUGCAUCACUGCUGCUCUACAACUGUCUUUUAGCGUCUGGAAAGAAAAAGAAAAAGAUGUUUGUUUCAACCAGAAAAAUCAACGUAAUAGUAAGGUGUUUCUCCACAAAGACAGCCAGAGGUCUGUGUGGAUCCUGCCGGUAACAUAGCGUCCACCGUGCGGUUUGCACUGCAACUCAUCAUUACUGCUGGCUUGAGUCGGCGCUGCCGRAAUGACUUGUAUAAAAUAUCUGUCCUGCUCUAAGUGCUUCCAACUGGUAGCUUAAUCAUGGGUCAAACCAUCAUGCGUCUCUUCUGCAUUUAUCUUCUGUCAGAAAGAGUUCCUGCUUUCUCUCUUUUUUUUCAGAUGCAGACCAGCAUGAGCAGCAUCAGCAUCUUUCUAAAGCCAGGCUUGAGUAUCUUUAAGUUUUCCAUGGCUGGGACAUUUGCUGCCUUUUUAACAAAGUAACAYGKAACAAUGAGCUGGUCUCCUUUACCUGUAGCACAGACGGCAGUCUUGAGAAAUUUUGAGCUCAAGAGAAUCAGAAGACGGUCGCUGUAGAGUCAACAUGUGACACAGACCUGGAGCAACUCUUGAGCAUCUGUAGUUGUUUACAGAGAAGAGAGAGUGUCAUGAAGCAAAAGUUUUCGGUUCGUUGCAACCUGUUAAGAAUUCACAGCGUAGUGUUCCCUUCGCUGGCUAUCGCAAUUUUAGAGUUUGAGUUGGUCCGUGGUAAUAACCUCGUGAUGUAAAACACAAGCAGCAAAACAGAAACRGUUCAGAGUAUUUGUCCGCACGAGCAAUCUGAAGGAAAGAGUAAAAUAACUUAAAUCUUGAUAGCAAGACAGGCUAAACCUUUCAUUUAGCAGUCGUUUUUAUGUUUUACAUGAG